UGGGUUUUGAGUGAAAUCCAAUCGCUACAACUAUGCAAUACACCAACCACUCCAUUUCAGAACGAACUUCGUACGAACCUGAAUUGUCCAAUUUCAUGGGCCAAUCGAUCUCGGAUUGAGUCCACAAGUUGGGGAUCAUCAUAAUGCGGUGGGAGGAGUCAUUUGGUGGGUUUUGAGUGAAAUCCAAUCUCUACAACUAUGCAAUACACCA
Molecule: long non-coding RNA, 211 nt
Filed under: Prunus persica (peach)
Lineage: Eukaryota; Viridiplantae; Streptophyta; Magnoliopsida; Rosales; Rosaceae
Description: long non-coding RNA (PPER_LNC003387)
Source: RNAcentral